UAGAUUUGGACGCGCUUUUUUAUUUUUUAUAAAUAUUUAAGUUUUUUGCCACGUCAGCUUUUGGGUGGUAUAAGUUCCACUUUAAAUAAGGAUAAGGGGGUAAUAGAUCGCCCGAUUAGUUGGAGUGUGAACUCGACUUUUUAGAUGAAGGCAAGAUCAAAUGAUCUGCCAGGACCAGUUCCUUUAAACCAGACACAGAAAAUGUUUGCCCUUAUUAUUUAUGUUUUUCUGGACAUUUAUGCAGAAUCUUUUCAAUUGUGUUCGAGUCGCACAUUUUGCAUGUACAUGUGAUAGUUCAUCUGAACUUAGAAUUAGGGAGUGUAGUGACUUUGUUUUCUUCUUUGUUCUAUAGUUAUCAAAUGUUGCGGCAAGGAAAAGAUGAGUUAGUUGUUGAUUGUUUAGAGGUUUUUGUAUUAUGACUUCUUAUUCUCCAGCUACCAUAUUUUUGGCUUCUCAGAACUAAGUUAAUGUUCCGGAUAUAGUACUUCCCAUGUUACACUUGAACAUAGCCGGUCCGACAAAGGAGGGGGGUUUAUUGUCAAUAAGAAGUCAGAUCCUUGACUAUUGUGUUGUUA
This is a long non-coding RNA of Lycium ferocissimum, 575 nucleotides long. RefSeq lists it as uncharacterized. Lineage: Eukaryota; Viridiplantae; Streptophyta; Magnoliopsida; Solanales; Solanaceae. The record is from RefSeq and is a predicted model, not a curated record. The transcript has 2 exons.